GCUACGGGUGGCAGCAGUGGGGAAUAUUUGGCAAUGGGCGCAAGCCUGACCCAGCAACGCCGCGUGAAGGAAGAAGGCUUUCGGGUUGUCAACUUCUUUUGACAGGGAAGAGCAGAAGACGGUACCUGGGGAGGAAGCUCCGGCUAACUACGUGCCAGCAGCCGCGGUAAUACGUAGGGAGCGAGCGUUGUCCGGAAUUACUGGGUGUAAAGGGAGCGUAGGCGGGGGUGCACGUUGGGUGUCAAAACUACCGGCUCAACUGGGAGUCGCACUCAAAACUGCAGCUCUUGAGUGAAGGAGAGGCAGGCGGAAUUCCUGGUGUAGCGGUGAAAUGCGUAGAUAUUAGGAGGAACACCAGUGGCGAAGGCGGCCUGCUGGGCUUUUACUGACGCUGAGGAUCGAAAGUGUGGGGAGCAAACAGGAUUAGAUACCCUUGUAGUC
Molecule: ribosomal RNA, 441 nt
Filed under: uncultured bacterium
Lineage: Bacteria
Description: partial 16S ribosomal RNA
Rfam family: Bacterial small subunit ribosomal RNA
Source: RNAcentral